UCCGACGUGGUGUAGUGGCUAGCAUACCGCGCUUUCACCGCGGCGAUCCGGGUUCGACUCCCGGCGCCGGAA
This 72-nucleotide transfer RNA is filed under the name Trichoderma hamatum GD12. RNAcentral describes it as "tRNA-Glu (TTC) (tRNA-Glu-TTC-1 1 to 3)". It matches the Rfam family "tRNA". From Rfam's summary of the family: Transfer RNA (tRNA) molecules are approximately 80 nucleotides in length. Their secondary structure includes four short double-helical elements and three loops (D, anti-codon, and T loops). The record is from RNAcentral. Lineage: Eukaryota; Fungi; Ascomycota; Sordariomycetes; Hypocreales; Hypocreaceae.